UACAGAGGGUGCAAGCGUUGUCCGGAAUUAUUGGGCGUAAAGGGCUCGUAGGCGGUCUGUUGCGUCGGGAGUGAAAACUCAGGGCUUAACCCUGAGCCUGCUUCCGAUACGGGCAGACUAGAGGUAUGCAGGGGAGAACGGAAUUCCUGGUGUAGCGGUGAAAUGCGCAGAUAUCAGGAGGAACACCGGUGGCGAAGGCGGUUCUCUGGGCAUUACCUGACGCUGAGGAGCGAAAGUGUGGGGAGCGAACAGG
This 253-nucleotide ribosomal RNA is filed under the name uncultured bacterium. Its description in RNAcentral is "partial 16S ribosomal RNA". It matches the Rfam family "Bacterial small subunit ribosomal RNA", at positions 524 to 776 of the family's 1533-position model. The record is from RNAcentral.